Molecule: small RNA, 772 nt
Filed under: Pan troglodytes (chimpanzee)
Lineage: Eukaryota; Metazoa; Chordata; Mammalia; Primates; Hominidae
Description: retained intron
Source: RNAcentral
GGCCGGACAACUCAUGGCGGCGGCGGCGGCAGCUGCUUGGGCGCGGUGCGGUGGUGACUGAGCUACGAGCCUGGCGGCGGGUGUGCGCCGAGCCCCGGCCCGGCCCGGCCCCCGCGUGCCUCCCAGGCUCCGCACCCCUGAUGCUGCGCGGGUGCUGAGCCCGCUUCGGCCGGGACGAUGGUGAAGUAUUUCCUGGGCCAGAGCGUGCUCCGGAGUUCCUGGGACCAAGUGUUCGCCGCCUUCUGGCAGCGGUACCCGAAUCCCUAUAGCAAACAUGUCUUGACGGAAGACAUAGUACACCGGGAGGUGACCCCUGACCAGAAACUGCUGUCCCGGCGACUCCUGACCAAGACCAACAGGAUGCCACGCUGGGCCGAGCGACUAUUUCCUGCCAAUGUUGCUCACUCGGUGUACAUCCUGGAGGACUCUAUUGUGGACCCACAGAAUCAGACCAUGACUACCUUCACCUGGAACAUCAACCACGCCCGGCUGAUGGUGGUGGAGGAACGAUGUGUUUACUGUGUGAACUCUGACAACAGUGGCUGGACUGAAAUCCGCCGGGAAGCCUGGGUCUCCUCUAGCUUAUUUGGUGUCUCCAGAGCUGUCCAGGUGAGCAGUGUUGUUGGGGCUGCUGGGGCUCUGGGACCCAGUGCUUUCGGUGUUGGGGCUGGGCUGGGGUCAGUGGGCAACUCAGUAUCCUUCCCAUUCUCAUCUCAUGCCAGGAAUUUGGUCUUGCCCGGUUCAAAAGCAACGUGACCAAGACUAUGAAGGG